Molecule: non-coding RNA, 1081 nt
Organism: Oryzias latipes (Japanese medaka)
Lineage: Eukaryota; Metazoa; Chordata; Actinopteri; Beloniformes; Adrianichthyidae
Source: RefSeq, a predicted model, not a curated record
CUUGACGUUGUAUUCUAUUGUAAUUUUGUUUGUUUAAAACAUUUGACAGUAUGUAAGCAGCACUGAAACAAUCCGCAGUGAAAUGCAGCCUAGGUGCUAGCUAUACUAGGUUUUAAGCUAGCUUCCUUUUUUUAGCAGCCAUCCGAUUUGGAAAACUAUCAUUAACCAUCUUCCAAUAAUCUUUUGCUAUUCACUGGUAAUAAAGUUAUUGUAACAAACAGUAAGCUGUCUCUUAAAAAUAAACCCAAGUAUUUAAUUGGAGUUAAUGUGCAAUUAUCAACAAUUUACGUUUAAACUUUCAGGCGCCGCUGCAAACAUCGUCUCACAAUGAUGAUAAUUUCACAGACCUGUACUGAAUGACUGUGAUUGCACUCUAUUAUUCUGAUGUGAGACGAUUAUUUUAUGUUAAGAACUUUUUUUUUAAAGGCAUGUGUAAGAAAUUACCAACUUUCAGAUCACGCUGCGUGGAGCAGUCACGUGGUAGCUGAGCAGAGACUGAUGUGCUAGCAUGCUAAUGCUACAUUUGGUCAUUUUGAUCUCUUCCAGAACAUGAAAGACUUAAAAGGAACGCUAAAAAGCUCAGAAGAAUCAUGCAGGACCGUUUUCAAGGUUGUAGCAGAUCAACAUCUCUUCCUCAAAGGGACCUGAACAUUAAAUGUUGAAGAUUUCCAUGAAGCUGACAUGUCUACCAGCAACAUAUCAUGACGACUGGGUCUGAAGUAUUAAGUUGAGAUGCUUCAGCUGAUUCCAGCUCAAACAGAUGCGAUGCAGAUGAGGACCUUCUCUGUUGACGCUCCAUCGCCCGCUGGACUGCAAAUCCAGGUGGAGUUUAUCUGAUGUGGGGAUGGAGCUGCUUUAGGGAGGAACAACUUUGUCGAGCAAGGUUGGUCAAUAACACCAGGACAUCUUUAUCUGUCAGCUGACUACAGUUCAAGGCGACGUCACACUCCUGAAGCAUUGACGGGAGAAGCUUCUGUUCAACCAACUCCACGAUGGCUGGAUGGUCUGUGGUGCCUUUUUGAAGAAUGAAGUUUUGUUUUUUAAACUUUGAACAUUUAAUAAAAAAAUGUGUGCAACUUGA